GUACUUGUCCAGCUCGUUCUGCAGCUUCUGAAUCAGUUCGUCCUUCUGAUCCAACUCGAGCUCCAGCUCGUCGAUGAGCGCAUCCCGCUGCCGGAGCUCCUCGAUCUUCUCCUGGAGCGCGUACUGCAGAUCGCGCAAGGACCAGUAUCACAAAAGGCUUCGGACAGACACUCUGUGUCUCCAGUACCCCACCCACUGGAACGAGUCUGCAGAAGUCUUGGAGAUGGGCCUUGACUUCUUCUGCUGACUGAAGGAUUGGUGUGGUUGGGUGUGGUGGAGGGAAGGAGCAAUCUUUGCUGAGUCCCACAAAGUCCAGCCUGAGAUAGAAUCACACCUUUUAAAAGUCCAUUUCUUCCCGACAA
Long non-coding RNA from Erinaceus europaeus (western European hedgehog), 362 nucleotides. RefSeq lists it as uncharacterized. The transcript has 2 exons. NCBI's taxonomy places the organism in Eukaryota, Metazoa, Chordata, Mammalia, Eulipotyphla, Erinaceidae. The record is from RefSeq and is a predicted model, not a curated record.